UGCGCAGGCGGGGAUGUAAGUCAGUGGUGAAAUACUGUCGCUCAACGGUAGAACUGCCAUUGAUACUGCAUCUCUUGAGUAUGGUUGAGGUAGGCGGAAUGUGUUGUGUAGCGGUGAAAUGCAUAGAUAUGACACAGAACGCCAAUUGCGAAGGCAGCUUACUAAACCAUUACUGACGCUGAGGCACGAAAGCGUGGGGAGCGAACAGGAUUAGAUACCCUGGUAGUCC
Molecule: ribosomal RNA, 229 nt
Filed under: uncultured bacterium
Lineage: Bacteria
Description: partial 16S ribosomal RNA
Rfam family: Bacterial small subunit ribosomal RNA
Source: RNAcentral